Molecule: long non-coding RNA, 540 nt
Filed under: Homo sapiens (human)
Lineage: Eukaryota; Metazoa; Chordata; Mammalia; Primates; Hominidae
Description: non-protein coding LINC01732:12
Source: RNAcentral
GUGCAGUGGUGUGAUCUCGGCUCACUGUGACCUCUGCCUCCUGGGUUUAAGCGAUUCUCCUGCCUCAGCCUCCCGAGUAACUGGGACUACAGCUGCAGGAAACAGAAAAUGCACUGCCUAGAUGGACCCUCUGACUCCCCACCACCCAGGCUGGAGCGGCAGAGGCUGCCAGGAAGAGCCAGAAAACAGGUGAACCCAAGGCCACUCCCUCCCCAGCCUGAGGAACACUCUACUGGUAAGGGGAGAAAUGCCUCAAAUGAGCAUGUGCACAACUUCAGUAAACAUGCUGUGCAUGUGGCCCCUCCCAAGUGCCCGCAGGCCACCACACAAGUGGACAGCCCUGGACAGCCCGCCCCUAGGGAAGAAUCAAGGGAGGAGAAACAGAAGCCCUGGAACUGUGCUAGCAUAUAAAACCCCAAGUCAAGGGCUGAAUGGCACACUUGGAUCUCUCAAGUCACCUGCUUGGCCCCCUUCCAAGUGUAUUUACUUCCAUUUGUUCCUGCUCUAAAACUUUUUAAUAAACUUUCACUCCUGCUCUAA